UACGUAGGGGGCAAGCGUUGUCCGGAAUUAUUGGGCGUAAAGAGCUUGUAGGCGGUUUGUCGCGUCUGCCGUGAAAAUCCGGGGCUCAACCCCGGACUUGCGGUGGGUACGGGCAGACUAGAGUGUGGUAGGGGAGACUGGAAUUCCUGGUGUAGCGGGUGAAAUGCGCAGAUAUCAGGAGGAACACCGAUGGCGAAGGCAGGAUCGUCUGGGCCACUACUGACGCUGAGAAGCGAAAGCGUGGGGAGCGAACAGG
This 256-nucleotide ribosomal RNA is filed under the name uncultured bacterium. RNAcentral's name for it is "partial 16S ribosomal RNA". It matches the Rfam family "Bacterial small subunit ribosomal RNA", at positions 524 to 776 of the family's 1533-position model. The record is from RNAcentral.